CUCUUGGCCACAGCCUCUGGGUUACAUGGCAGAACUCAUCAGUGCUGUAAGUUUCAGCAGUUGCUGAAACAAAACCUAAUUUUCUUUCCCAGUGAUAUCGUAUCUGUGUCAUCCUGUUCUCUGCCUACUCGGAAGCAGCUCCUCAGCAUUUGACUUUAAAAAGGGAAGGCAAGCAGGAGAUGUGUCUAAGUGGUUGCACUCUUUUGAUCGAUGAGAGAGGUGAGCCAGAAUGUGUUCCAGUGACCUCCUGCUAUAUAAAAGCUUGGCCUGCCUGACAGGACUUCUGGCUGCUGAGUAGCUGUGAGUCACAGCCUUUACUGCUUGGAUUUGAUGUGGAUUUUUACAUCAGACGCUGCGGAAACGAGGUGGCCUCUCAAAUAUUUGCAUUGCUUGGCAAGCUAAGGGGCUCUUCUCACCUAACGAGACAGCACAGGAUGUUUUCCAAAGAGCUUUGCAGACUGCCAAAACUUCCCUGAAAGUGAGUACAGAAAUCCACUGGAAAGCAGCAUAUUAAAGGCAUGUGUGUCCCUGUGCUGUGAUCCUGUCAGGAGUUAAGCUGUGUUGGGCUGGAUCAGAGCGUGGACAGGAGGCCUCCAAGGACACACGGCCGAAGCCAUUUCAGGCAGCGAUCCCAUUAAACAGGACCUGGUAUGUGCCCUCCGCCUGGGCACAAACUGCUAUUGCUUUGCUCACGGGUGGUAAGAAAGCAUUCCCUGAUAAUUUUAUUGAAAAAAAAAAGGAAAAGAGAAAAGCAUAGAGGCGCAAGUCUGGGGAUACUGUCCUGGCCAUAUCCCAGGCUGGGUAUCUGCACAUGGUUUGCUUCCGCAUAGACUUCUUCUGGGGAUUCCUGCUGGACAACAUAUUUCUCCUCAACCCUAGCUCCAGACUGUUUGAUAACAUUGCGGUUUGGUUUUUAUGCCUUAUGCCAGUGGUGGAGGCCCUCCGCUAAUGGGUAUCUGCACCAUUUGAAAGGUUUUGUGAGGACAAACAAAUAGCAAAUAGAAAAAGAAGAGGAAAAGAUAGGAAAGAAGGAACUGAGUUUCCUUCUUUCAGCUCCACCACCUCCAGCACAACAAACCGAGUCUCCUGGGAGUGUGUGGAUGCUCCACAGUCAGCAAGGAUGACUUACCCAUGGAGUGGCAUCAUUGCCAUGUGACGCAUAUUUCCUUGGGGGAAAUCAAAAAAAAAGUGGUGACAUUUCUGAACUUGCGGCUGGUGGUGGCCAGGAGAGCCUCAUACAAGCCUGGCCUCUGCUGGGCUUUGAGACUUGCAUAGCUAAAAACAAACAGAAGAAGAUGCAUAUGUUUUACUUCAAUGCUUAUACACGUGGAUCUCGCUUCCCACAGAAAUACGUAAAUAAAUAAAUAGAUUAAUAAUAAAUGAAUAAAUUUAAUCGUUAAAGCCACUACUUUUUGCUUCCUUCUGGAGAAUAAUUGCCAAUGUGAU
This is a long non-coding RNA of Cygnus atratus (black swan), 1446 nucleotides long. RefSeq lists it as uncharacterized. Lineage: Eukaryota; Metazoa; Chordata; Aves; Anseriformes; Anatidae. The record is from RefSeq and is a predicted model, not a curated record. The transcript has 3 exons.